GAGCCAGAGGGAAUACGCAUGCGCACCCUGCACUGGCCCCAUGUGGCUGAUAGGAGAGCCAGAGGGAAUACGCAUGCGCACCCUGUGCUGGCUGGUGUGGCUGGGCCUCUUUGCUCAUUCACCUCUGCCUUUGUUUCCUAUGCUUGCAUUUCUCUACCCGCUUUUGGGCUGACUCUAGUCUUUCUCCACACCAGUGCUCAGGCACCUUUGAGUGCUCAUUUCGCUUUGCCUGGACUUUUUCUGAUCUUAUUAAAAUUUUCAAAGACAGGAAACAAAACUACGUCUCAAAUUGAAAAUCACAAAAACUGGCAAAACCUAUCAUCAUGGAUAUUUAUUUGUCCCUUUUUUUCAAAUCUUGAAUUCCUAAAGGUAGAAAUUAUUUUUUUUCCAAAUGAAAAGUCCAUGAGCAUAUAGAUGCAGAGUUAAAAGUAGCUAAUAAGAUGAUUAAGCAAGUUGCCAGUUCCAACAGCAAACAGGCUCUGAGGACUGAAUCUAUAACUGUGAUGUAUACUUGGGGCCCUAUCUGCCUAGAGCCAGAGGAUUAUGUGAGAGGGUGAAACAAGAGAAAAAAAAAUGUGUUUUGCCUUUCCAUUGGAAAUAAAAGGCUAUUAUGAUGAAGAGCCUGGAUUGUGGAUCUCUGUUUCAUUCACUUCAUAUUUCAACUGCAGAAACUACAUUAUUUUAGAGUUCAAGGAAGGGCAAAUGGAGCUCAGAGGCAUUAUGAAACUGGCCAAAGAGAAGAGAAAAAGGAAGUAAAAAGAAGACCAGAUCCAAGUGAAUUGGUCAUAUAUAAUGCAGGAACACACCAAGCAUCUUAUAAAGGAAUGGAGGGGUAUUGUUAUCUGCUUUGUGGAAGUGUUCAAGUGAAUUCCUUGACUACUGAACAACUGUAGUUUAUUUAAAAGUCAUGAAGAAAAAUACUAAUAUUGUAUAUGGUUUACAGAUGUAUAUCCUGAAAUUAUAAUACUGUAAAUUAAACUGUGCAUAAACAUGCUCUGUCUUUAAAUCAAUCCAUUUGGCGAGUGAUUAUAUAUAUUAUUCUAAAUCCCAAGCUACAAUGGAAAAAUAAAAGCCCUUUUUAUGAAUAAAUAUUCCUGAUUACACUAUAAGCC
This is a long non-coding RNA of Bos taurus (domestic cattle), 1112 nucleotides long. The record is from Ensembl. Lineage: Eukaryota; Metazoa; Chordata; Mammalia; Artiodactyla; Bovidae.